This is a long non-coding RNA of Anopheles merus, 3049 nucleotides long. RefSeq lists it as uncharacterized. NCBI's taxonomy places the organism in Eukaryota, Metazoa, Arthropoda, Insecta, Diptera, Culicidae. The transcript is spliced from 5 exons. The record is from RefSeq and is a predicted model, not a curated record.
UUUUAAGGCCCCCCCUAUGACAAUCGAAGCAGCCCUGACAAGAAAAACGAGAUAGUGUGCGGUUGAUCGGUCAUGCAAUCUGUCAAAUUUUCAAAAAAUACAGUUUGUUUACAUUUUGAACCGAACGAUAGCUCUCACGAUGUACAACGGCGAAUGAUUAAAAAAAGGCUACUUCGGUGAUGAAAAUGUUGUGUGUAAUGUGUACAAUAAACAGCCUAAAAAUUAUAAAUGGUGGUAGAAUCGACUUCGCACGCCUGAAAGCCGUUUAGGCUGUUGUGCAACCGUGUUGAGCCGGCGAUAGUUAGAAAGAGGGAAGAAAGAAUGCCCGCAAUCAAACUAAACGAUGUUUGAUCAUGGAAAACAAGUUAAAAAGCAUACAAAGCUCGCUCGCUGUUGGACGCUUGGACAAUUACUUUUACAAUCAUUCGGUGAUCAGUUUGCGAAACGUCUUGCCGCACGCCUGGUACAGGCCCUUCUUGUCCGCGUCGGUAUCGAUCGUGGACUGAUCGUUCGGCAGCGUCAGCAUCAUCACCUUCAUCUGCGGGUAGUUGUGGUACGGCACAGUUCCGGUCGCCAUCUCGAUCGCGGUAAUGCCGAACGACUAGAAGCCGUAUCCGUGGUCCCGCUCCAUCUCCUCCGGCGCCAUCCAGCACGACGUGCCGAUAAACGUGUGGUACACCUUCUGCCGCGACAUGUCUCCAUCGGUGGCGAGCCACGCGCUCAUCCGCUAUAUUUAAGGAGCCGUCGUCGCCGGGCAGUAUGAUGGCCACCUUGAUGUCCACGUAAUGAGCAAUGCGAAAUGUGCACUCAAUUGGCAAGCGCACAGCAAGAUCCAGCAAACGUUACCGACAGUCUUUGUCGCCGUGAAAAUGCUUCUAAUGCACGGGUGAGUUGCAUUAUAACUACAAGCAUACGUUUUUUUCCUUUCUUUAGUUUCAGCUAAUGCCAGACGAACGAUCGAAUGACUGUUGCUUCGGAAGGGAGGUCGUAUUACAGAUAGCGGUGUAGUGUUGUGAUAUAGUGAUUGUGUGUACAUUUAAGGUGUAAAGGGUGAUUAAUGCUAGUAACGUUGUGUAAUGUUAUGCAGAACAAAAUGCAGCAUAAAUGGCGAUGAGCCAGCAUUGUUCUAAGGUGCCGGAUGUUAUACGUUAGAGCCGUUCUUUGUGGUGUGAUGUGUUAACCACCUUGCUGCCAGUUAUUAGGAUUAGGAUUAAACCAGUAUUAGGAUUAGGAUAUAAUUAGGAUUUAAACCAGUGCCGUUGAAUAAAAUGGUGUACAACAGGUUAGAAAACAUUCGGUGUAUUUUGUUUUGUUUUUUUAAAGCUCUUUCGAUUACCUAUUACGGAAGCAAAUAUGUUUCACUAAUGUGCAAAAGGUAAGGAAUUAGUGAUCGCGUUGGUAGGUAAUUGCUCGUUUACGGUGUUUCUCCAUUUGUAUUUAUUGUUUCUCGCCCGCUGUGUUUGCUUCCCCAUUUCUCAUAAUGGUGCGUACGUUUCAUUAACAAUGUGCAUUAGAUGGUGAUGUUACAUGAUAAGUAAAUGUUGAGCGUGUUGGCGGGUUUAAAAAAAAUAUUUUACUUGUCCUGCUCCGUUGGUUGUCUGGUUGUCUGGCUGGCUGGCUGGCUGGCUGGUUGGAUGGCAGAAUGGCUCACUGGCUGGUUAGUGCAGACUAUGAUCGGAUGCGCAUUUCCCUACGCCGCAGUGCCGGGUGCAUCAUACGUCGGUGUUGGGUUGCUGUUACUGGGCCGAGCGGAUGCGCGUGCACACGUGGGAAUAAACGACACGCAACCGUGGUAUUUUAUAUUGCAUCGGUACGAUUAUCGUGUUCAAAGGCUUUUUCGAGAAAUGCCAAUACAUAAAUCGGUUAGUUCGUUUAUAUCGGUUUCUCAAACCCCUGCAAGCAAUGGUCAAUCAUUUCAGUCUUAAACUUUUGACGAACGAAUGCCUGGUCGCUAGCUGCAGCUUCCCAUCGAUGUAGGCACACGAUCUUCGAGAUUUUACUUCACCUGAUCUAGCCAUCGCACUCGCUGUGCUUCCUCGCUUCUAGUACCGAACUGAGAGCCGCUCGAACACCUAGCUGCUGGGGCACGAGGCUGCCUUCUUCACAACAUGCUCCAGCCAUCGCAAACAGCCAUGUCCGGUACGCCAUAUGGCUUCAGUAAGCUCGUGGAUAAUCACUCGCAUCCACACCCCAUGCUCGAAUUCACCGCCAAAGAUGAUCCGGAGGAUGCGUCGGCCAUCGUGUUUCGCCGCUGUCCUUUGCAUGCUGUAAAAAAACAUACCUAUUCAUCGUCGGCCAAUGGUGCAGCACGAGCGCAACGUGAUACAUCGUGACAUCAUCCGGAAAACUUGCAGCUGGGGCACGGUGGUGAUCUGAAGAUAGCUGAUUUCGGUUGGUCCGUGUACGAGCCGACCUUGUUCCGGUACGACGCUGUGCGUUUCGCUCGACUAUUUAUCGCCCUAGAUGGUACAUGGUCAGCCGCACACAAAAACUGUCGAUCUCUGGAAUUUGGGCGUGCUGGCUUAAGGCCCCGUUUUUGGCGACCACGUAUGAAGAAUCGUACCGUAAAAUUAUGAAGCUGCAGUUUAAGAUGCCGCCAGAUGUAACGAAGCCGGCGGCCCAUCUGAUCUCGCGACUGUUCGUUAAGGAUCUGGCCAGCCGUAUGCCGCUGAAACAUGUUGCGUCCAUCCCUGGAUUCUGCUGCACGUGCACAAAAAGUAAAUAGGAAUUGCUGCUACCAUGUACCAUUUAUAGUUAUGUUCUCACUAAGUAUGUUUAUAAGAUACCUGUACCUUUUAGUUUUUUAAACCCUAUCUCUUAUAAGAAGUAGUGGUAUUUGAAUUGAAUAUGAACAAGGCAAGUGUAAUGAUAAGUAAUGAUAAUUGUUAUUUGUGUGUUCACUCAAAUGUUAUUAUACUUUCUUCAUGUUCAACAUCUGUUAUUAUUUCAAUUAUUAACAAUAAAAUAUGGCAAAAUAUUUUUUAAGCUAUAGAUCGUCUUUGUAUUGAAUGAGUGCAAUUGAUGGGUUUUGCAUUAUGAUGAUCAAUAC